RNAcentral lists this ribosomal RNA (440 nucleotides) under uncultured bacterium. Its description in RNAcentral is "partial 16S ribosomal RNA". It matches the Rfam family "Bacterial small subunit ribosomal RNA", at positions 338 to 795 of the family's 1533-position model. The record is from RNAcentral.
CCUACGGGGGACAGCAGUGGGGGAUAUUGCACAAUGGGGGGAACCCUGAUGCAGCGACGCCGCGUGGGUGAAGAAGCGCCUCGGCGCGUAAAGCUCUGUCAGCAGGGAAGAAAAUGACGGUACCUGAAGAAGAAGCCCCGGCCAAUUACGUGCCAGCAGCCGCGGUACGACGGAGGGGGCGAGCGUUAUCCGGAUUUACUGGGUGUAACGGGGGCGCAGACGGCGAUGCAAGCCAGGAGUGAAAGCUCGGUGCCCAACCCCGGGACUGCUCUUGGAACUGCGUGGCUGGAGUGCAGGAGGGGCAGGCGGAAUGCCUGGUGUAGCGGUGAAAUGCGUAGAUAUCAGGAGGAACACCGGUGGCGAAGGCGGCCUGCUGGACUGCAACUGACGUUGAGGCCCGAAAGCGUGGGGAGCAAACAGGAUUAGAUACCCCAGUAGUC